CAGCCGCCGCGGGAAUACGGAGGGAGCUAGCGUUGUUCGGAAUUACUGGGCGUAAAGCGCACGUAGGCGGCUUUGUAAGUUAGAGGUGAAAGCCUGGAGCUCAACUCCAGAAUUGCCUUUAAGACUGCAACGCUUGAAUCCGGGAGAGGUGAGUGGAAUUCCGAGUGUAGGGGUGAAAUUCGUAGAUAUUCGGAAGAACACCAGUGGCGAAGGCGGCUCACUGGACCGGCAUUGACGCUGAGGUGCGAAAGCGUGGGGAGCAAACAGGAUUAGAUACCCCAGUAGUCCCUGUCUCUUAUAC
RNAcentral lists this ribosomal RNA (301 nucleotides) under uncultured bacterium. Its description in RNAcentral is "partial 16S ribosomal RNA". It matches the Rfam family "Bacterial small subunit ribosomal RNA", at positions 509 to 807 of the family's 1533-position model. The record is from RNAcentral.